Molecule: transfer RNA, 73 nt
Filed under: Candidatus Omnitrophota bacterium
Lineage: Bacteria; Pseudomonadati; Candidatus Omnitrophota
Description: Candidatus Omnitrophica bacterium (groundwater metagenome) tRNA-Thr
Rfam family: tRNA
About the family: Transfer RNA (tRNA) molecules are approximately 80 nucleotides in length. Their secondary structure includes four short double-helical elements and three loops (D, anti-codon, and T loops).
Source: RNAcentral
GCCCGCGUAGCUCAGCUGGUAGAGCAGGGCUUUCGUAAAGCUCAGGUCGGUGGUUCGAUCCCACUCGCGGGCU